CAGCCCAGGCUCUAAUUUGAAAAUCAAGAUUUGUAUACAGGAUUGCAACCCAAGAAAAAGAAAAGAAAAUCAGUAGACAGGACCACUUACUCUUGGCUACUUCAUUAUCUCAAAUACUGGAUGUGCUCUCGAAUAUGCCAAUAUGCAAGGAAAUUAAGCACCAGACAUUUGUCAUCAUCUAUAUAUAUACACAGGGGACCUUUGACACUGUUCAUCAACCGAGUUCUAUAACAAGUGUAUAGAUGCAAUGUAUUACUGGGCAAUUACUCUUUUGGCAGUUGGCCACUCGACUGCAAGUUAAAUUGCAAGGAAGUAAGCUCACUGCCAAAGGAGAUUUGCCCCGCAAUUCAUCUAUACAAUCAUUUUGCCCACUAUUCGAUGCAUGUUACCAACCCAAGAAUGUUUGUCAUUGAUGGUUCCGGCCAGGCUGAACUAAUGAUGAUCUCCUAGUUCAUCAAUUUAGACUCUACAAGACAAAAAAGAUUAGCGAGAUCUUGGACAAUGUGCCUAACGAGCUCUAAAAUGUAUUUAUAUAAAAUAUCAUUGGAGAAUUUAGAAAUAAUUUUCAUGAAAUCUUUGUAUUAUUUUUAAAAGAAAGAUGGUGAGGAUAAAGAAAAUCUUUAUUUUUUUCCGCAAAUCUAAGAAGAAAUUAUGUGCUAACUAGGCUAAUUUGUUAUAAUUGUCUUAUAAAAUGCAUGAUUUACUCUUUUUCUAGAAAUGUAUACAUCAACUCGGUUUGAGAUUUAUAUUAAUCUCUAUACUAUUAUAAAAAUUUGUCUGUUAAUUCAUUUUAA
This is a long non-coding RNA of Ricinus communis (castor bean), 794 nucleotides long. RefSeq lists it as uncharacterized. The record is from RefSeq and is a predicted model, not a curated record. Lineage: Eukaryota; Viridiplantae; Streptophyta; Magnoliopsida; Malpighiales; Euphorbiaceae. The transcript has 2 exons.